Molecule: ribosomal RNA, 253 nt
Filed under: uncultured bacterium
Lineage: Bacteria
Description: partial 16S ribosomal RNA
Rfam family: Bacterial small subunit ribosomal RNA
Source: RNAcentral
UACAGAGGGGGCAAGCGUUGUUCGGAAUUACUGGGCGUAAAGGGCGCGUAGGCGGCCUUCUAAGUCGAACGUGAAAUCCCCGGGCUCAACCCGGGAACUGCGUCCGAUACUGGAAGGCUUGAAUCCGGGAGAGGGAUGUGGAAUUCCAGGUGUAGCGGUGAAAUGCGUAGAUAUCUGGAGGAACACCGGUGGCGAAGGCGGCAUCCUGGACCAAUACUGACGCUGAGGAGCGAAAGCCAGGGGAGCAAACGGG